GGUUAAGCGACUAAGCGUACACGGUGGAUGCCCUGGCAGUCAGAGGCGAUGAAGGGCGUGCUAAUCUGCGAUAAGCGCCGGUAAGGUGAUAUGAACCGUUAUAACCGGCGAUACCCGAAUGGGGAAACCCAGUGUGACUCGUCACACUAUCAUUAACUGAAUCCAUAGGUUAAUGAGGCGAACCGGGGGAACUGAAACAUCUAAGUACCCCGAGGAAAAGAAAUCAACCGAGAUUCCCCCAGUAGCGGCGAGCGAACGGGGAGGAGCCCAGAGCCUGAAUCAGCAUGUGUGUUAGUGGAAGCGUCUGGAAAGGCGCGCGAUACAGGGUGACAGCCCCGUACACAAAAGCGCAUGUGCUGUGAGCUCGAUGAGUAGGGCGGGACACGUGGUAUCCUGUCUGAAUAUGGGGGGACCAUCCUCCAAGGCUAAAUACUCCUGACUGACCGAUAGUGAACCAGUACCGUGAGGGAAAGGCGAAAAGAACCCCGGCGAGGGGAGUGAAAAAGAACCUGAAACCGUGUACGUACAAGCAGUGGGAGCCCCACCACCAAAGCAUUCUCUGGUGUUGAAGGCCCUGCAAAGCAGCAUCGCGGUGGCGGAGCGUCGUUUGCGACGCCCAACACACAAAACAAGCGGUGAGUGCUUUG
Molecule: ribosomal RNA, 647 nt
Filed under: Salmonella enterica
Lineage: Bacteria; Pseudomonadati; Pseudomonadota; Gammaproteobacteria; Enterobacterales; Enterobacteriaceae
Also listed under: 1 other name
Description: partial 23S ribosomal RNA
Rfam family: Bacterial large subunit ribosomal RNA
Source: RNAcentral